CGAUUCUGGCUCAGGAUGAACGCUAGCGACAGGCUUAACACAUGCAAGUCGAGGGGCAGCAUAGAAGUAGCAAUACUUGGUGGCGACCGGCGCACGGGUGAGUAACGCGUAUGCAACCUACCUAUCAGGAGGGGAAUAACCCGGCGAAAGUCGGACUAAUACCGCAUAAAACAGGGGCACCGCAUGGUGAUAUUUGUUAAAGAAAUUCGCUGAUAGAUGGGCAUGCGUUCCAUUAGGUAGUUGGUGAGGUAACGGCUCACCAAGCCGACGAUGGAUAGGGGAACUGAGAGGUUGGUCCCCCACACUGGUACUGAGACACGGACCAGACUCCUACGGGAGGCAGCAGUGAGGAAUAUUGGUCAAUGGGCGGGAGCCUGAACCAGCCAAGUCGCGUGAAGGAAGAAGGAUCUAUGGUUCGUAAACUUCUUUGCAGGGGAAUAAAGUGCGGGACGUGUCCUGUUUUGUAUGUACCCUGAGAAUAAGGAUCGGCUAACUCCGUGCCAGCCGCAGC
This 511-nucleotide ribosomal RNA is filed under the name uncultured bacterium. Its description in RNAcentral is "bacterial SSU rRNA". It matches the Rfam family "Bacterial small subunit ribosomal RNA", at positions 14 to 518 of the family's 1533-position model. The record is from RNAcentral.